Molecule: long non-coding RNA, 822 nt
Filed under: Coturnix japonica (Japanese quail)
Lineage: Eukaryota; Metazoa; Chordata; Aves; Galliformes; Phasianidae
Description: lncRNA (ENSCJPG00005020777.1)
Source: RNAcentral
AGACCCUGGGUUUCAUAAGCAAGGGGAGAGACCUUUUCUUGCUUGGGAAUCAUCCAAGGAAAAAUUGGUAGGCUAUGGAAGCUUGCAGGAAAGCAAAGAAGUAGGUGAUGAUGCUCUUUUGACUGCACUUCCCAGCCAAGGUAAUAUCAUAUUUCUUGGAAUAUGAUACUGAGGAACUUGCAAAUGAGGAAUUAUCUGAUGGAUUUACAAUCUGGAAACAUUUUACCCCCCAAAUCCUGUUUUGCCAAAAACAAGUCGUUAAAAGGAAAUGUCUUCCUUUUUUUAUAUCAUUUUUCUUUCUUUUUUAUAUCAUUUUUCUUUUAUUUCCAGGCAGAUUCUCCUGUGAGUCGGUGGAUUUGGUUUCUCCAGAGCUCAGCCACCUGCACCAGUCAGUGAUGGGGACUUCUCAAAGAAAUGGUUCCAAAUUGUCCUGGUGCUGAGUUAGCAUACUCCAAGAGGAACCCACCAGCUAAAGAGGGCUUCAUACUACUGGUCCAGGAGCAGUUUCAGUGUCAAAAUUGCCCCAGGAACAAGAUCGUAGCAAAGUUUAGGACGUUUAAAAUACGUAUGUAUGUAUGGAGAUGUUACAGAUUGAAUUGGGAAUGCUACAGCUUAGAUCAUUUGAUGUAUCUUCCCAUCACAAAUGUAAGGGGUACUAAAGCAUCUGACAAAAAUAUUUUGUCUACAUUCUGGGAACUGUUGACAUUUGUACCUGGACAACUGCUGCCAGAUUUAUACCUUCAAGCAAAUGGCUCUUCUGCACUGCUCUCAACUCCAGAAGGUUGGUCAUCUAUAGCUGAUUGAUAUUCAACAGUCUUCUCA